GCAGGUGAAUGUAACGCCAAGCGAUGGGCGUUGCGCUCCAUAUUGUCUUACUUAUUUUUUGAAUUAUUGCAUAGCACAUUUAAUUCGAUACGCCGGCGUAAAGUCGGCUUUU
This 112-nucleotide small RNA is filed under the name Izhakiella capsodis. Its description in RNAcentral is "Fumarate/nitrate reductase regulator sRNA". It matches the Rfam family "Fumarate/nitrate reductase regulator sRNA". Lineage: Bacteria; Pseudomonadati; Pseudomonadota; Gammaproteobacteria; Enterobacterales; Erwiniaceae. The record is from Rfam by way of RNAcentral.